GGGUCGUUAGCUCAGUUGGUAGAGCAGUUGGCUUUUAACCAAUUGGUCGAUGGUUCGAAUCCAUCACGACCCA
Transfer RNA from Marinobacter antarcticus, 73 nucleotides. It matches the Rfam family "tRNA". From Rfam's summary of the family: Transfer RNA (tRNA) molecules are approximately 80 nucleotides in length. Lineage: Bacteria; Pseudomonadati; Pseudomonadota; Gammaproteobacteria; Pseudomonadales; Marinobacteraceae. The record is from Rfam.